GGACAGAUGGCCGAGUGGUUAUGGCGUGUGACUCAAGCUGCUAAGCUUGGUUGAUGUAAAAUCGACUAGCAUUCUCAUGGGCUUAGCCCGCGGGGGUUCGAAUCCCCCUCUGUUCA
Molecule: transfer RNA, 116 nt
Filed under: Sclerotinia sclerotiorum 1980 UF-70
Lineage: Eukaryota; Fungi; Ascomycota; Leotiomycetes; Helotiales; Sclerotiniaceae
Description: tRNA-Leu for anticodon CAA
Rfam family: tRNA
About the family: Transfer RNA (tRNA) molecules are approximately 80 nucleotides in length. Their secondary structure includes four short double-helical elements and three loops (D, anti-codon, and T loops). Further hydrogen bonds mediate the characteristic L-shaped molecular structure. tRNAs have two regions of fundamental functional importance: the anti-codon, which is responsible for specific mRNA codon recognition, and the 3' end, to which the tRNAs corresponding amino acid is attached (by aminoacyl-tRNA synthetases). tRNAs cope with the degeneracy of the genetic code in two manners: having more than one tRNA (with a specific anti-codon) for a particular amino acid; and 'wobble' base-pairing, i.e. permitting non-standard base-pairing at the 3rd anti-codon position.
Source: Rfam by way of RNAcentral